Molecule: ribosomal RNA, 1219 nt
Filed under: Salmonella enterica
Lineage: Bacteria; Pseudomonadati; Pseudomonadota; Gammaproteobacteria; Enterobacterales; Enterobacteriaceae
Description: partial 23S ribosomal RNA
Rfam family: Bacterial large subunit ribosomal RNA
Source: RNAcentral
UAAGCCUGUGAAGGUGUGUCGUGAGGCAUGCUGGAGGUAUCAGAAGUGCGAAUGCUGACAUAAGUAACGAUAAAGCGGGUGAAAAGCCCGCUCGCCGGAAGACCAAGGGUUCCUGUCCAACGUUAAUCGGGGCAGGGUGAGUCGACCCCUAAGGCGAGGCCGAAAGGCGUAGUCGAUGGGAAACGGGUUAAUAUUCCCGUACUUGGUGUUACUGCGAAGGGGGGACGGAGAAGGCUAUGUUGGCCGGGCGACGGUUGUCCCGGUUUAAGCGUGUAGGUGUGUGUUCCAGGUAAAUCCGGUUCACUUUAACACUGAGGCGUGACGACGAGGCACUACGGUGCUGAAGCAACAAAUGCCCUGCUUCCAGGAAAAGCCUCUAAGCAUCAGGUAACAUCAAAUCGUACCCCAAACCGACACAGGUGGUCAGGUAGAGAAUACCAAGGCGCUUGAGAGAACUCGGGUGAAGGAACUAGGCAAAAUGGUGCCGUAACUUCGGGAGAAGGCACGCUGACACGUAGGUGAAGUGAUUUACUCAUGGAGCUGAAGUCAGUCGAAGAUACCAGCUGGCUGCAACUGUUUAUUAAAAACACAGCACUGUGCAAACACGAAAGUGGACGUAUACGGUGUGACGCCUGCCCGGUGCCGGAAGGUUAAUUGAUGGGGUCAGCGCAAGCGAAGCUCCUGAUCGAAGCCCCGGUAAACGGCGGCCGUAACUAUAACGGUCCUAAGGUAGCGAAAUUCCUUGUCGGGUAAGUUCCGACCUGCACGAAUGGCGUAAUGAUGGCCAGGCUGUCUCCACCCGAGACUCAGUGAAAUUGAACUCGCUGUGAAGAUGCAGUGUACCCGCGGCAAGACGGAAAGACCCCGUGAACCUUUACUAUAGCUUGACACUGAACAUUGAGCCUUGAUGUGUAGGAUAGGUGGGAGGCUUUGAAGUGUGGACGCCAGUCUGCAUGGAGCCGACCUUGAAAUACCACCCUUUAAUGUUUGAUGUUCUAACGUGGACCCGUGAUCCGGGUUGCGGACAGUGUCUGGUGGGUAGUUUGACUGGGGCGGUCUCCUCCUAAAGAGUAACGGAGGAGCACGAAGGUUGGCUAAUCCUGGUCGGACAUCAGGAGGUUAGUGCAAUGGCAUAAGCCAGCUUGACUGCGAGCGUGACGGCGCGAGCAGGUGCGAAAGCAGGUCAUAGUGAUCCGGUGGUUCUGAAUGGAAGGGCCAU